RNAcentral lists this transfer RNA (103 nucleotides) under Infirmifilum uzonense. Its description in RNAcentral is "Thermofilum uzonense tRNA". It matches the Rfam family "tRNA". From Rfam's summary of the family: Transfer RNA (tRNA) molecules are approximately 80 nucleotides in length. Their secondary structure includes four short double-helical elements and three loops (D, anti-codon, and T loops). Further hydrogen bonds mediate the characteristic L-shaped molecular structure. tRNAs have two regions of fundamental functional importance: the anti-codon, which is responsible for specific mRNA codon recognition, and the 3' end, to which the tRNAs corresponding amino acid is attached (by aminoacyl-tRNA synthetases). tRNAs cope with the degeneracy of the genetic code in two manners: having more than one tRNA (with a specific anti-codon) for a particular amino acid; and 'wobble' base-pairing, i.e. permitting non-standard base-pairing at the 3rd anti-codon position. The record is from Rfam by way of RNAcentral. Lineage: Archaea; Thermoproteati; Thermoproteota; Thermoprotei; Thermofilales; Thermofilaceae.
GCCCGGAUGGUGUAGCCUGGAUAACACGCUGGCCUGUGGAGCGCGAACCCACAGGCAGCGCGCAGAGAGCCAGUGAACCCGGGUUCAAAUCCCGGUCCGGGCC